CAGGACGAACGCUGGCGGCGUGCUUCAUACAUGCAAGUCGAACGAUAAGGUCUCUUCGGAGAUACAUAAGUGGCGGACGGGUGAGUAAAAUGUAGAGAAUCUGCCCUAGAGAUGGGGACAACAGUUGGAAACGACUGCUAAUACCCAAUAUGAGCGUAGUUGAAAUACUAUUCUUGAAAACUCCGGUGCUCUGGGAUGAGUCUGCAUCUGAUUAGCUAGUUGGAGGUGUAAUGGACCACCAAGGCGACGAUCAGUAGCUGGUUUGAGAGGAUGAUCAGCCACAAUGGGACUGAGACACGGCCCAUACUCCUACGGGAGGCAGCAGUAGGGAAUUUUGCGCAAUGGGGGAAACCCUGACGCAAGCAACGCCGCGUGAAUGAAGAAGCCCUUCGGGGUGUAAAGCUCUGUCAGUAGGGAAGAAUAAAUGACUGUACCUACAGAGGAAGCAUCGGCUAACUCCGUGCCAGCCGCCGC
RNAcentral lists this ribosomal RNA (474 nucleotides) under uncultured bacterium. RNAcentral's name for it is "bacterial SSU rRNA". It matches the Rfam family "Bacterial small subunit ribosomal RNA", at positions 25 to 518 of the family's 1533-position model. The record is from RNAcentral.